RNAcentral lists this signal recognition particle RNA (95 nucleotides) under Chthoniobacterales bacterium. RNAcentral's name for it is "signal recognition particle sRNA small type". It matches the Rfam family "Bacterial small signal recognition particle RNA". Rfam says of the family: The signal recognition particle (SRP) is a universally conserved ribonucleoprotein involved in the co-translational targeting of proteins to membranes. Archaeal SRP consists of a 7S RNA and homologues of the eukaryotic SRP19 and SRP54 proteins. The record is from RNAcentral. Lineage: Bacteria; Pseudomonadati; Verrucomicrobiota; Spartobacteria; Chthoniobacterales. RNAcentral also lists the same sequence under 1 other name.
UGCCAGGGACUAUGGACUGGGGAAGGACGAACCCCGCCAGGGCAGGAAUGCAGCAACGGCACUCCGCUCCCCUUUGCCGUAGCUCUCUGGCCUUU